AUUUUGUGGUCAAGCUACAAAGGGCUGAUGGUGGAUACCUAGGCACACAGAGGCGACGAAGGACGUGGUUACCGACGAUAUGCCCCGGGGAGUUGGAAGCAGGCAUUGAUCCGGGGGUUUCCGAAUGGGGCAACCCUACAUACUGUUACCUGAAUCUAUAGGGUAGCAAGAGCGAACGCAGCGAAUUGAAACAUCUUAGUAGCUGUAGGAAGAGAAAACAAACGUGAUUCCCUUAGUAGCGGCGAGCGAAGCGGGAAGAGCCUAAACCAGAUUGCAUGCAGUCUGGGGUUGUGGGACAGCGACAUGGACGCGAGCGGUUAGACGAAGCAGCUGAAUACUGCAUCAGAGAAGGUGAAAAUCCUGUAGUCGAAAACUUAACGCUACUAGCUGGAUCCCGAGUAGGUCGGGGCACGUGAAAUCCCGAUUGAAUCCGCGAGGACCACCUCGUAAGGCUAAAUACUCCUGUGUGACCGAUAGUGAACCAGUACCGCGAGGGAACGGUGAAAAGAACCCCGGGAGGGGAGUGAAAUAGAACAUGAAACCAUCAGCUUACAAGCAAUCGAAGCACGAUUUAACGUGUGACGGUGUGCCUGUUGAAGAAUGAGCCGGCGACUUAUAGGCACUGGCAGAUUAAGCCGGGAAUGGCGAAGUCAAAGCGAAAGCGAGUCUGAAGAGGGCGUUAGUCAGUGUUUAUAGACCCGAACCCGGGUGAUCUAACCAUGUCCAGGAUGAAGCUUGGGUAACACCAAGUGGAGGUCCGAACCGACUGAUGUUGAAAAAUCAGCGGAUGAGGUGUGGUUAGGGGUGAAAUGCCAAUCGAACCC
This 824-nucleotide ribosomal RNA is filed under the name uncultured Leptolyngbya sp. RNAcentral describes it as "LSU rRNA". It matches the Rfam family "Bacterial large subunit ribosomal RNA", at positions 1 to 840 of the family's 2925-position model. The record is from RNAcentral. Lineage: Bacteria; Bacillati; Cyanobacteriota; Cyanophyceae; Leptolyngbyales; Leptolyngbyaceae.